Molecule: long non-coding RNA, 699 nt
Organism: Vombatus ursinus (common wombat)
Lineage: Eukaryota; Metazoa; Chordata; Mammalia; Diprotodontia; Vombatidae
Source: Ensembl
GCUAGCAAUUGCUCGAAUAAAGAAUAUAGUUCAUUAAAAAAUCAUACAUGUGAUGAUAAUAAGGAAGUUAUGUUUAUAGUUCAUGUGACAUGUAAAUUGAAGCAACUUGUGAAGGCUAAUAUCAGUGAGAACUUUAAUGGUUACUUAGAAGCGUAUUCACAUCAUGCAUUAGAGAUGCUGAAGGGAUGCAAAUGUGAUGAGGAGAAAGAAAAAAAAGUAGAAAGAAAGAUAGGAAGAAUCCAUUUUACUAGUGAAGUCUCUCCCACCAAGAGUACAGUGAAUGGAACAGAGAAAAAGACAGGAGGGCCCUGCUUCAAGAUCCUGGGAGAAAAAUCUUCCAAGGAAAGAAAAAAACAGAAUAAAUGUUUAUGCUUAAUACAAAAAAUGAUAUCCGAUGUUAGCAAUUGCUGGAGGAAAAUUUUGAACAUGAACGCCAAUGGGCACUGACACAACUGUGAUGGCAGAGAAGCCCCAUGAUUUGAACACCUUUCACUUGCAUUCACCAAGUGUUCAUCUGCUCACACUGAUCUAUCUCCAUGCCAGAAGCUGCUGUAUUUAUCCUGGCAAAGCUAUGGCACCAUGAGCAAGGGACCGUGAAUUCUACUCUACUCCACUGCAGACACCAGUAGACAGAGAAGCAAACCAAUGAAACAGAAAAUGAUAAUUCACAAUAAAAGCUACUUGAUAACGACCUGGACA